CAAAUCCAACAAAUCCAACAAAUCUAACAAAUCCAACAAAUCCAACAAAUUCAACAAAUCCAACAAAUCCAACAAAUCCAACAAAGCCAACAAAUCCAACAAAGCCAACAAAUUAAACAAAAUCAAACAAAAUCAAAAACAUCAAAAAAAUCAAAAAUAAAUUAUUUUUUUUGAUAGCCUUUCUUUUUUGUUUUUAAUUAAAAUUUGCUAGUCAAUAUAUGCGAACAAUAUAUGUUUAUAUAUAUAUAUAUAUAUAUAGACAUUUUUAUGAAACACAAAAAUUAAAAAAAAAAAAAAAAAAUUUAUACAUUAAUAAAACAGUAUAUGUUUUUUGUUUAUUUUAUUUUUUUUUUUGCUUAUAAUUUAUUUGUAAUUCUUUGAAAUAAUAUUUUGCUGCUCGUGAUUACUAUUAACAUAAUUGCUGUUACUAUCAUCAUUUUUGUCAUUGCAAGUUUUAACAUAGUUGCCAUAUAUCUAAGGUAAUUAUAAUUAUAAUGCCUAUGCUAGGCAUAAUACCUACCUAUACUAGGUAAAAUUCCUAUAAUCGCAUUCUAUUUCUUUUUUUUUUUUAUUUUUAUUCUGCUUAUAUUUUAUUUUAAUAUUUUGAAUUGCUACAACUGAUAAUGUUAACAUAGCAUUUUUUUUUUUUAAUUUUUAUACUUUUGUACUUUUUUUUUUUUUUAAAUAUUUGAUUAUUUUUGCAUGUAUACAUUUUAUUUACUGUAUGUAUAAAAUUUUAUUAAUUUAUUUAUAAUUUUAUAUAGCUAUUAACUUAUGUAAUUGUUAGCUUACAUUUGUCUCUCUCUCUUUAUAUAUAUAUACAUGUUUAUUGCUCAUCUAAUCAAAUUAGCAAGCAUAAAAAAUAAGGAUACCUUUUCCUUUUUCUUGUUAUUAUUUAUAUGUUAUUUUUACACUAUGAGUUAACAUUUUAAAUAACUAAUCAUAUCAGUAUGACUUAUUUUGAAGCUCACACUAAAAGAAUGGACGCAUGGGUACCCAACAAAAGUCAAGAUGACAUGUUGGUAAAAAUAAAGCUUUUAAAUAAUAGUUACAGUAAUAAUAAAAUUAUAUUCAAAAAGUAUUUGUCAUUUUAUGAAAUAUUUGCCCUUCUACUAAUUUUAUUUUUAAAUAUAAUACCUAAUGAUAAUAGAGACAUUUUUUUUUUCGAAGAAAAACAUAAUAAAAACUUUUUUUUAAGGCUGUUAGAGAGUUAUGAUAAAACGUGUGAUGAUUUAAACAGUUGUAAACAUUUAGUCGAUUCGAAAAAAAAAAUAAUGAUUAUGCAAAAAAAAAGUAAACAUACAAACCAGCGUGUUUGUCCUGAUUGUGAAAACGCGUAUAAUAAAAGCGAUGGUAAUACAUACAAUAUUAAAAAAAAAAACAUUUUAAAAGAUCAGAAAAACGAUAACAAAAUAGAAAAACGCUUUUGUAAUGUAAAUAAUAUUAAGCUAGGUACACAAAACACUAAAAAAAUAGUAGAUAUAGAAAAAGUAGUUGUUAAGCCUAGUGUGAAGGAAGCUCAUGCUAAAUGCUAUGAUAAUUUUUUAAAGGAAAAAAAAAAAUACUUUUCAGAAAAAAUGCAUAUUUUGAAUAGUAUUAAAAAAUAUACAUGGAACGAAUUAUACAAGAAUUAUAAAACAAAACAUAUUCAUAUACUAUGGAAACAAAACAUGUGGCGUGAAUGGAAUUAUUAUAUCAACAUGAUAAAAAUUAAAGAUGAUAUACAAGACAUGUAUUAUUUUAAUGAAAUAAUAAAAAGUGGUUACUCAUAUGAUAAAGUCAUAAUUAAAUUAAAAAAAAAACUGAAUUCCAAAAAAUUCAUAUUAUUACAAGAUUGGGAGAAGUUUUUGGAAAUACACUUGAAAGAAUGGGAGACAUAUAACAAAACGGAUAGAUAAAAA
RNAcentral lists this long non-coding RNA (1901 nucleotides) under Piliocolobus tephrosceles (Ugandan red Colobus). Its description in RNAcentral is "lncRNA (ENSPTEG00000001966.1)". The record is from RNAcentral. Lineage: Eukaryota; Metazoa; Chordata; Mammalia; Primates; Cercopithecidae.